Long non-coding RNA from Symphalangus syndactylus (siamang), 813 nucleotides. RefSeq lists it as uncharacterized. The record is from RefSeq and is a predicted model, not a curated record. NCBI's taxonomy places the organism in Eukaryota, Metazoa, Chordata, Mammalia, Primates, Hylobatidae.
ACCCUGCAGGCCUAGGUGGGAGCUUCCAGUGCCUCUUGUCAUCAUGCUGGUAUGUCCAGGAAGUGGGAGGUGCCACCAAUGUGUAGCCACCCUGCCUGAGCCCACCACCCUUGGAGUCAGAACACCCUGGGGCAAAUCCUGGCUCACCCCUUCUCAGCUAUGUGAUAUCGGGAGCUGCCAGUCUCUCCUCCUGCUGUUAUCAUGGUUGUAAAGAAAGGGGCAUGAGAAUGCUACUUAAUGGAAAAGAUCCUGCCAUAGGAGAACGAUGAAGUCACAAAGGGACAGAGGAAGGAGGAGGAGAAGAGUGAUUGACUGUGAAAGAAGUGAUGCUGUAUGACUUCCAAGAUGAGGUCAUUGAAAUAUGAUAUAGCUUCCAUUUGUUUCUCUUGGGACACUCCCUACUGGAACCUAGCCAUCAUGCUGUAAGGAAACCAAACAGCCACAUAGAGAAGCCACAUAUAGGUAUUCUGGUUGUUAUAGACUGAAUGUCCAUGUACUCUCCGACCCCACCCCCCAAAUUUGUAUGUUGAAGCCCUAACUCUCAAUGUGAUGGUAUUAGGGGGUGGGGCCUUGGAAGUAAUUAGGUUUAGAUGAGGUCAUGAGGGUGAAGUCCCCAUGAUGGGUUUAAUGCCCACAUAAGAAGACGAAGAGACACCAGAGCUUUCUCUCUCCAUGUGAGGAUACCAUGAGAAGGCAGCUGUCCACAAGCUAGGAAGAGAGCCCUCACCAAGAACUGAAAUCUGCCAGCACCUUAAUCUUGGACUUCCCAGCCUCCAGAACUGUGAGAAAUAAAUGUGUAUUGUUUAAGCCAUC